GUACGCUGGCGGCACGCCUAACACAUGCAAGUCGAACGAAGUAGCAAUACUUAGUGGCAAACGGGUGAGUAAUAUGUGGGAAUCUACCCUUCGGUCUGGAAUAACAUGAGGAAACUUAUGCUAAUACCGGAUAAGCCUUUACAGGGAAAGCUUUACGCUCCGAUUGAUGAGUCCACACUUGAUUAGUUAGUUGGUGAGGUAAUAGCUCACCAAGACAAUGAUCAAUAGCUGAUUUGAGAGGAUGAUCAGCCACAUUGGGACUGAGACACGGCCCAAACUCCUACGGGAGGCAGCAGUGAGGAAUCUUGCACAAUGGGGGAAACCCUGAUGCAGCGAUGCCGCGUGAGUGAAGAAGGCCCUUGGGUUGUAAAGCUCUUUCGUCGGGGAAGAAAAUGACUGUACCCGAAUAAGAAGGUCCGGCUAACUUCGUGCCAGCAGCCGCGGUAAUACGAAGGGACCUAGCGUAGUUCGGAAUUACUGGGCUUAAAGAGCACGUAGGUGGUUAAAAAAGUUGGUGGUGAAAUCCCAGAGCUUAACUCUGGAACUGCCAUCAAAACUUUUUAGCUAGAGUAUGAUAGAGGAAAGUAGAAUUUCUAGUGUAGAGGUGAAAUUCGUAGAUAUUAGAAAGAAUACCAAUUGCGAAGGCAGCUUUCUGGAUCAUUACUGACACUGAGGUGCGAAAGCAUGGGUAGCGAAGAGGAUUAGAUACCCUCGUAGUCCAUGCCGUAAACGAUGUGUGCUAGACGUUGGAAAUUUAUUUUCAGUGUCGCAGCGAAAGCGUUAAGCACACCGCCUGGGGAGUACGACCGCAAGUAACCAAUGAUGCG
This 827-nucleotide ribosomal RNA is filed under the name alpha proteobacterium SCGC AAA288-L13. RNAcentral's name for it is "SSU rRNA". It matches the Rfam family "Bacterial small subunit ribosomal RNA", at positions 31 to 912 of the family's 1533-position model. Lineage: Bacteria; Pseudomonadati; Pseudomonadota; Alphaproteobacteria. The record is from RNAcentral.